Molecule: long non-coding RNA, 718 nt
Organism: Gorilla gorilla gorilla (western lowland gorilla)
Lineage: Eukaryota; Metazoa; Chordata; Mammalia; Primates; Hominidae
Exons: 3
Source: RefSeq, a predicted model, not a curated record
CAGCAAAGGUGAUGGGAUGUCACUCUGGGGAUGACUCACAUCACACAGGACUGUCUUUUGGGGAGACUCGCUGUCUCCCUCACUGGCUCUGAAGAAGCCAGCAGCUGCCACAGAUCCUACAACUGAAAGGAGCUGAGUGUUACCAAACACAUGCGAGCAGGGGCAUGCACGCUCCCCCAGUCAGACUCCGCAUGAGAACCCGCCCUGGACAUAACCUGGCGACCGCCUUGUGAGACCCCAGCAGGAGAGCCGGCAAGUCCGUCGCUGGACUCCUGACUCAUGGAUUCCUUGAGAUAACAGAGAUGGAGUGUCACAAUGUUGCCAAGGCUGGUCUGGAACUCCUGGACUCAAGUGAUCCUCCCACCUGGGCCUCCAGAAGUGUUGGGAUUACACUGAACUGUGAGCCCUGCAGAAAUAUUGAAGUGUAAAGUCAUGGGUCCUGGGGAGAAGAGAGAAGUGGAGAAGAAUGGAACUUCUUUUAAGGUCGAGGGUCUGGUGCUACACAUUCCGGGAAGUCAAUGCAAGCAGUUCUUACUCUGGAAAAUGCGAAAACCUCCCAAGGUUUCAACAUGUUGGUUUAGAACUAAACCAACCAAAAAUGUUGGUUUAGAACUAAAAAUAUUGGCUUAAAACCAAAAAUGUUUGUUUAGAAUUAAAAAUAAUGGCCACUAUAUUGAAUGCAUGUGUUUUUCAGAUUCCAGUUUAAUUAAAAUCAGUG